Camellia sinensis is the source of this 627-nucleotide long non-coding RNA. RefSeq lists it as uncharacterized. Lineage: Eukaryota; Viridiplantae; Streptophyta; Magnoliopsida; Ericales; Theaceae. The record is from RefSeq and is a predicted model, not a curated record.
CGCAAAAGGAGUAAACACAUUGACGCACAUGUCAAAAACUACCAAGGAGAGAGAUACCUACUAUUCCCAUUGCAUCAUGAGUACCACUGGACGAUAGUUGUGUAUGAUGUUAAAGACAAUUUGUGGAAGCAUUACAACUCGUUGCGCCCAAGAACAAGCAUACAUGACCCGCAUAUCGACUAAGCACAGGAAAUUAGGAACUACAUUGAGCAUGUUGUGACCGUUAUUGGCGAGUCAUCACCGCUACACACUAAGUUAGCAGGCCAAAAUCCAGCACAACCAACCAAAAGUGUUGAUGUCUGUCCUCAACAAGGCGAUGACUCAGUGGACUGCGGACCUGCAGUAUGUUACAUCAUGCGGGCGCACGUAUAUCAUGAAGAAAUUGUGGGCAGCCUCAGUAGUGCAGAAUGGUGUGGACUACGAGAUUUGUUAGUGCAUAGUUUUUUGAAUCAUAAGAAAUCAGAGCUUCCUUAAAACCUAUAGGUGGGGGGUGUCCACCUACGAACUAACCAACAGUCGAUUUGAAUGUUAAUAUGGAAUGCGUUGAUAUUUUGACACAGCAACUGAUUGUAAAACAGUGAUACAACAUCUGUUAAUAGGAAAAAGGCAGCUGCGAAUUUUGAACUA